CAGCGCGGAGAAAGGGGGCGAGCAGCCUAGAGAGAGGGAGAGAGAUACGCGGGAAGCAGGCGGUGCCGCGGGGAGACGCCGUCAUAUGGACCGGCCCGCCGCCGCCGGUUUUUUCCGCCGCACCAGCAAGGGCUACACGAUCCAGGUUCUUCAGAUCCCGGUAGGUGAAUGCUGCUUCUCUCAUGGCAUCUGCUUUCUUCUCAGGCCAGUUAGGGAAGUGCUUGAGCACUGCCCGUUCGUCUAUCAGUUGUGACAGCAAAGCCUGAAUACAAGCUUUCUUCUGCCUGAAGUUGUGUAAAAGGAACUCAGAUGGAACUCCUUUACCAGCCCUGGACACCUUUGGCUAAUAAGACCAAGUGAAUAUUUUGAAAAGUAGAGGGACAAGAAGAAACAAAAUAAAGCUGAGCAAAAGAAGGGGGGAAGCAGAUCUGAAUGUGUUUAUCUUUCAAAACACACAGAUUUCUGGUGAAGCCUUUCCUACCUGUAUCUGAACAGCAUUGGGCAUCUGUUUAUGCCACCAAAUAUAGGCGGUAGCAGAACCCCGAAAACGACAUAUCAGUAGGUUUAGAAAAAGGAGUCCCUACAAAGGAAGAUUCUGGCAAUGUUAUAAAGAAAAUGUAGAAAUAAACUGUUACAGGAUGACAGCAGAUUAAGCUGGCAUCAAAGGUUACUCUGUGUACUCUUGAGAUACAGGUACCAUUGUAAAGUCCCUGAUCCGUAGGGAAUUGCAGCCAUGUUUAAAGAGUUCAUUGAUUUCGCUGCGUCA
Triticum dicoccoides is the source of this 766-nucleotide long non-coding RNA. RefSeq lists it as uncharacterized. The record is from RefSeq and is a predicted model, not a curated record. The transcript has 4 exons. NCBI's taxonomy places the organism in Eukaryota, Viridiplantae, Streptophyta, Magnoliopsida, Poales, Poaceae.